RNAcentral lists this unclassified non-coding RNA (1891 nucleotides) under Leishmania donovani. Its description in RNAcentral is "gene:LdHU3.35.2450(CDS-product:60S_ribosomal_prot ein_L5_putative)". The record is from RNAcentral. Lineage: Eukaryota; Euglenozoa; Kinetoplastea; Trypanosomatida; Trypanosomatidae.
UUUCUACGCCUCGCCAUCGUACAGACACUUAAGCUAACAACUCGCUCACACACUCGAGAUGCCGUUCGUCAAGGUCGUGAAGAACAAGGCGUACUUCAAGCGCUUCCAGGUGAAGUACCGCCGUCGCCGCGAGGGCAAGACGGACUACCACGCGCGCCGCCAGAUGGUGCUGCAGGACAAGACGAAGUUCGGCUCGCCCAAGUACCGCCUUGUUGUGCGCAUCACGAACAAGGACAUCAUUGCGCAGAUCGUGCAGGCGAAGAUCGUCGGCGACGAGGUGGUGAUGGCCGCGUACGCGCACGAGCUGCCUGCGUUCGGCAUUGAGCACGGCCUGACAAACUACGCUGCUGCGUACGCGACUGGUCUGCUGCUGGCGCGCCGCACGCUGGCGAAGCUGGGCAUCGCGGACAAGUUCCAGGGCGCGAAGGAGGCGGACGGCUCGUACUCUGCUGUGCGCACGAAGAAGGACGACGAGGGCGACGACGAGGAGCGCUUCCCGUUCAAGGCGAUCCUGGACGUCGGGCUUGCGCGCACGACGACCGGCGCCCGCGUGUUCGGCGUGCUGAAGGGCGCGGUGGACGGCGGUAUGGCUGUGCCGCACCGCCCCAACCGCUUCCCCGGCUACAACAAGGAGAAGAGCUCGCUGGACGCGAAGGUGCACCGCGACCGCAUCUUUGGCAAGCACGUGGCGGAGUACCUGAAGCAGGUGAAGGAGGAGGCGAGCUCGAACCCCGACGAGAAGUGCGUGCAGUUCUCGAGGUACAUGGCCGCGAAGGUUUUGCCGGAGAGCAUCGAGGGCAUGUACAAGAAGGCGCACGCGGCGAUCCGCGCGGACCCGUCGAAGUCGCUGCCGAAGAAGGCGAAGAAGGAGGGCGUCGCGCACAAGAGCUACAAGACGAAGAAGCUGAGCGGCGCGGAGAAGAGGGCCGCCGCGAAGGCGAAGGUCGCGGCCAUCCGCGAGCGCCUCGGCAAGUAAGUCGAACGCUCACUUUUGAGCACACGACUCUCUACUUGUCUCCCGCUCUGAUGUCUCUUUCCUUAUUUCUGCGCCUGCAGGUAAAAGAAGUGCAUCCGCAUGGCUGUCUUUUAACGGGGACAGCGAGGCGUGCUGGCGGCAACUGUGUGCGCUUGUGUGCGCGCACGUUACGCUGAGAGAACCUCACAUUUCCUUUUUGUUUUUACUGUUAAUUUUCUGUAUGUCCUUUUCUCGGCCUCUUGUCGCGUCUGCUCCCCCCCCCCCCCCCCGAUGGGGCGCUGGCGAGGCGGAGAGGUCAUAGGUUCCUCGUUAUAAGCCAGUAGCGGUGCUGCACGGGCAUGCCCUAUGGAGGGAGAAGGGGUGCUGCGUGGAAAAGGGAGCGCAGUGCGCCAGAACACAAGCGUGCGCGCUUGUAGGUGCGCACAUGUUUGCUACUUUUUUUUCUCUCCGUUCCGCUCUGGCUAGUGAACUUCGCCACUGCCGAGUGGGUGUUGGCCUGCUGCAGAGACUGCAACAUUGCUCCCGGUGCGGGCUGUGUGCGGUCAUCGCGUGUGCGCAGCUGCAGUGUGCGGAGGGGCCGUCCAGGCACGGUCUUACUUCAAUCUCCGCUGCUAUGGGUGCGUCCUGAUGAAGGCCCUGCCUACGGAUCGCCUUUCUGUAGGCGCUCUUGUCCAUCUCUGCUGUAGCUCAACUUUCUGCGCUUGUUUUUCCUCUUUUUGUUCUUCGGCAUCUCCGCCUUUGUUGGUGACUGGUACUGCCUUGCGUCUCCAUGAACUAAAACAACGGCUGCAUAUCUUCCCCUUCCCUUGCGGAUAUAAAACUCGUACCUGUGCGACUUUCUCACGUUCGCCGCACGCUCACGGACGCUCGACGUCCAAUCGAUGCGCGCAUGCGCACCAUGACGCUUUUUCGAAG